Molecule: ribosomal RNA, 837 nt
Filed under: uncultured bacterium
Lineage: Bacteria
Description: bacterial SSU rRNA
Rfam family: Bacterial small subunit ribosomal RNA
Source: RNAcentral
UGCAGUCGAGCGCGUCUUCGGACGAGCGGCGGACGGCUGAGUAACACGUUGGUAGCUACCCCUCACUCAGGGAUAACCAUUGGAAACGAUGGCUAAUACCGGAUGGUCCCGAAAGGGUAAAGAUUUUUCGGUGAGGGAGGUGCCUGCGGCCUAUCAGCUAGUUGGUGAGGUAACUGCUCACCAAGGCUAUGACGGGUAACUGGUCUGAGAGGAUGAUCAGUCAGAGGGAAACUGAGACACGGUUCCCACUCCUACGGGAGGCAGCAGUAAAGAAUCUUCCACAAUGGGCGAAAGCCUGAUGGAGCGACACCGCGUGCAGGAUGACGGCCUUCGGGUUGUAAACUGCUUUUCUGGGUGAGUAAUUAUGAACGUAACCUAGGAAUAAGCACCGGCUAAUUCCGUGCCAGCAGCCGCGGUAAUACGGAAGGUGCAAACGUUACCCGGAAUCAUUGGGCGUAAAGCGUCCGCAGGCGGCGCAGUAAGUCAGUAAUUAAAUCUUGAGGCUCAACUCCAAGGCUGUUACCGAAACUGCUGUGCUAGAGGAAUGGAGAGGUAUGUGGAAUUCUAAAUGUAGGGGUAAAAUCCGUAGAUAUUUAGAGGAACACCAAAAGCGAAGGCAGCAUACUGGCCAUUUCCUGACGCUCAUGGACGAAAGCGUANGUAGCAAACGGGAUUAGAUACCCCGGCAGUCUACGCCGUAAACGAUGAUCACUCGGUGUCGGGGGUUCGANCCUUUCGGUGCCUAAGCUAACGCGAUAAGUGAUCCGCCUGGGGAGUANNNUCGCAAGAUUAAAACUCAAANNAAUAGANGGNNACCCNCACAAGCGGNGGAGCGUG